Molecule: long non-coding RNA, 436 nt
Organism: Panonychus citri (citrus red mite)
Lineage: Eukaryota; Metazoa; Arthropoda; Arachnida; Trombidiformes; Tetranychidae
Exons: 3
Source: RefSeq, a predicted model, not a curated record
GAAAGCGAUGAAAUUUUAUAUUCUUGAUUUAACUUUGAAUCGCAAUCGAUUCGAUUCAUGGGUUGGUUGUGCUCUUUCACUAGCAGAUGAGAUUGAACAAUAUUCUUCGCCUAAUUGUCAAGUUUUCUACUCAUCUACUGAAGAAAUGCUGCUCUUAGGAGAAAAAGUAUUUCGGUGUUUCAAUGAAGCGAUUCGGCUCAAAGAUAAUAGAUCCAAGUUUUGGAGAAUUCACAAAAAGUAGAAAUGAACCAACAGCAUAAGCGAUUCUUAGACCAAGCACAAGUUUGCUUCGAAUCAACUAGCAAAUUUUCUAAGGCUGAUGAAAUUCGGAUGGCUUAUAAUUUGAGAGAUGCUGAACAAUUGUUCAAAAUGGCAACGAUUUUGGCUUCAUCAGAAUUGGGUAGCAAAGGAUUUCUUCGUGAAACCGAUCGGGAAA